This is a long non-coding RNA of Brassica napus (rape), 1229 nucleotides long. RefSeq lists it as uncharacterized. The record is from RefSeq and is a predicted model, not a curated record. The transcript has 2 exons. NCBI's taxonomy places the organism in Eukaryota, Viridiplantae, Streptophyta, Magnoliopsida, Brassicales, Brassicaceae.
CUAUAUAAAAGGAGCUAUUUUAAAGGCUUCUAAAGUGUGCCACAUAUGCAAAAAAUUCCUGGCCAAUCAAUCUAACAGCUCAUCUUAAACUGGGCUGAUAUCCAUGUCAAUUACGAAGCCCAAACAAUUUAUUUAAAUCCCAGUCAAUACUGAAGUCAGCCCAAUAUCCAUUUACGGUAUAUGAUACCAAGAAACUAAGAAGCUCAUUCUAUUUUAUGAAAUUACAUGCUUUUGUUUAGUCUUUCGCCACAGUGACCGGAGGCGUGUUGAAUCACAAAGCUUCUCACGCAUCCCAUUAUUAUACUAUUUCAAUUGAGGUUCUUAGUGUUGUUCUAACUUAUAUUUAAAAAUAAAUUUUAUUAAAUGUUAUAGAUUUUACUAUUAUCUUAAUAAAAUUUAAUAUAGAUUUGAUAUAUAUUAUAUCAAAUUAUAUAAACUAAUAAAAAUGAUAUAAAAUUGUAUAAUUAUCAAACAUUUGGCCUAAACAAUAUUUUUAAAAUUUUGUAGAUAUAUAAGAAACUAAAUAUCAUACGAUUAGAUAUUAGAUGUUUAAGAAUUGCAUAUUUUUAAAAGCUUUAGUAAUACAAAUUGUAUAAUUAUAUAAAAAUAAUAAUAUUACUAAAUCUGGAAUGGUAUAUAUGAAUAUAUAUUUAUUUUAUAGAUGAUGCAUAAGAUAUUACCAACAUUAAAUAAAAUUAUCCGUCUCAUGUUUAUUUUUUUAAUUGUAGAGAUGACAUGUAGCAAAAUGCCCAAAAUGACCCUAAUACCCUAGAUAUAUAGAAAAUAUAAAAAAUUUGAAAUAUAAUACAAUAAUUAUUUGUAGAUAACUGGUACGUUUAACUUUGUGGGACAAGGAGACGUCUAAUUUCAGGGAGUAAAAUCGCAUAUCUACCAGAAAAAACUAAAUCGUAAUCAUCACAAGUAUCAUUCUACGGUUACAUGAAGGGAAACUAUCACUCACAACCACACCUGGAUCACGCUUCUACUUUGACAACAAUAUUGAUAUCAUACAACGCUUCCAAAAGAGGAAUAAAUGUCUAUCCUAAGCCUCAUAGCAAACGACACCAGUCAACUUUUUUAAAAUUUACGUUACAGCUUUCUACGUCAAUUAAAUAGGCACACUCAAAUACUAUUUUCUCUUACGAAUAUUAAAUUCAUCAACAUAAUUUAUUAUUCAAACUUACUUUAGUUUAUAAAAAAAAGUGAUCACCGCUUCCAACGUCUUCGCA